RNAcentral lists this ribosomal RNA (210 nucleotides) under Salmonella enterica. RNAcentral describes it as "partial 16S ribosomal RNA". It matches the Rfam family "Bacterial small subunit ribosomal RNA", at positions 1 to 218 of the family's 1533-position model. Lineage: Bacteria; Pseudomonadati; Pseudomonadota; Gammaproteobacteria; Enterobacterales; Enterobacteriaceae. The record is from RNAcentral.
AAAUUGAAGAGUUUGAUCAUGGCUCAGAUUGAACGCUGGCGGCAGGCCUAACACAUGCAAGUCGAACGGUAACAGAAAGCAGCUUGCUGCUUUGCUGACGAGUGGCGGACGGGUGAGUAAUGUCUGGGAAACUGCCUGAUGGAGGGGGAUAACUACUGGAAACGGUGGCUAAUACCGCAUAACGUCGCAAGACCAAAGAGGGGGACCUUC